Candidatus Ryanbacteria bacterium is the source of this 125-nucleotide non-coding RNA. NCBI's taxonomy places the organism in Bacteria, Candidatus Ryaniibacteriota. The record is from Rfam.
UUGUAAGCUAAUUCUAUUCCCAAGACCGUAAGUGCCGAAAGGCUUGAUGCGCAAGCGCUUACCGAGGAAAAGCUAUAUAGCCUUUUUCUUGUCUGCGGGAUAUGCCCGCAUUUUUAUUUGGAACC